RNAcentral lists this ribosomal RNA (497 nucleotides) under uncultured bacterium. Its description in RNAcentral is "partial 16S ribosomal RNA". It matches the Rfam family "Bacterial small subunit ribosomal RNA", at positions 28 to 507 of the family's 1533-position model. The record is from RNAcentral.
GAUGAACGCUGGCGGCGUGCCUAAUACAUGCAAGUCGAGCGAACAGACGAGGAGCUUGCUCCUCUGACGUUAGCGGCGGACGGGUGAGUAACACGUGGAUAACCUACCUAUAAGACUGGGAUAACUUCGGGAAACCGGAGCUAAUACCGGAUAAUAUAUUGAACCGCAUGGUUCAAUAGUGAAAGACGGUUUUGCUGUCACUUAUAGAUGGAUCCGCGCCGCAUUAGCUAGUUGGUAAGGUAACGGCUUACCAAGGCAACGAUGCGUAGCCGACCUGAGAGGGUGAUCGGCCACACUGGAACUGAGACACGGUCCAGACUCCUACGGGAGGCAGCAGUAGGGAAUCUUCCGCAAUGGGCGAAAGCCUGACGGAGCAACGCCGCGUGAGAGAUGAAGGUCUUCGGAUCGUAAAACUCUGUUAUUAGGGAAGAACAAAUGUGUAAGUAACUAUGCACGUCUUGACGGUACCUAAUCAAAAAGCCACGGCUAACUACGUG